Molecule: ribosomal RNA, 792 nt
Filed under: uncultured bacterium
Lineage: Bacteria
Description: bacterial SSU rRNA
Rfam family: Bacterial small subunit ribosomal RNA
Source: RNAcentral
AGAGUUUGAUCAUGGCUCAGGAUGAACGCUAGCGGCAGUAAUACAUGCGUCGUGGGGCAGCAUGAGUGUAGCAAUACAUUUGAUGGCGACCGGUAAACGGGUGCGGAACACGUACGCAACCUUCCUUUAAGUGGGGAAUAGCCCGGGGAAACCCGGAUUAAUACCCCGUAAUAUUAUGAGGUGGCAUCAUCUUAUAAUUAUAGCUCCGGCGCUUAGAGAUGGGCGUGCGUCUGAUUAGGUAGUUGGCGGGGUAACGGCCCACCAAGCCUACGAUCAGUAACUGGUGUGAGAGCACGACCAGUCACACGGGCACUGAGACACGGGCCCGACUCCUACGGGAGGCAGCAGUAAGGAAUAUUGGUCAAUGGACGCAAGUCUGAACCAGCCAUGCCGCGUGGAGGAUGAAGGUCCUCUGGAUUGUAAACUUCUUUUAUCUGGGAAGAAACCCAUGGUUUCUACUAUGGUUGACGGUACCAGAUGAAUAAGCACCGGCUAACUCCGUGCCAGCAGCCGCGGUAAUACGGAGGGUGCAAGCGUUAUCCGGAUUCACUGGGUUUAAAGGGUGCGUAGGUGGGCAGGUAAGUCAGUGGUGAAAUCUCCGGGCUUAACCCGGAAACUGCCGUUGAUACUAUCUGUCUUGAAUAUCGUGGAGAUGAGCGGAAUAUGUCAUGUAGCGGUGAAAUGCUUAGAUAUGACAUAGAACACCGAUUGCGAAGGCAGCUCGUUACACGGUUAUUGACACUGAGGCACGAAAGCGUGGGGAUCAAACAGGAUUAGAUACCCUAGUAGUCC